RNAcentral lists this transfer RNA (73 nucleotides) under Apaloderma vittatum (bar-tailed trogon). It matches the Rfam family "tRNA". From Rfam's summary of the family: Transfer RNA (tRNA) molecules are approximately 80 nucleotides in length. Their secondary structure includes four short double-helical elements and three loops (D, anti-codon, and T loops). Further hydrogen bonds mediate the characteristic L-shaped molecular structure. tRNAs have two regions of fundamental functional importance: the anti-codon, which is responsible for specific mRNA codon recognition, and the 3' end, to which the tRNAs corresponding amino acid is attached (by aminoacyl-tRNA synthetases). tRNAs cope with the degeneracy of the genetic code in two manners: having more than one tRNA (with a specific anti-codon) for a particular amino acid; and 'wobble' base-pairing, i.e. permitting non-standard base-pairing at the 3rd anti-codon position. The record is from Rfam by way of RNAcentral. Lineage: Eukaryota; Metazoa; Chordata; Aves; Trogoniformes; Trogonidae.
GGCCGCUUAGCUCAGUCAGUCAGAGCGUGGUGCUGAUGACACCAAGGUCGCGGGUUCGAUCCCCAUUCGGUCC